Long non-coding RNA from Triticum dicoccoides, 873 nucleotides. RefSeq lists it as uncharacterized. The record is from RefSeq and is a predicted model, not a curated record. The transcript has 2 exons. NCBI's taxonomy places the organism in Eukaryota, Viridiplantae, Streptophyta, Magnoliopsida, Poales, Poaceae.
CCGCUAUUUUUGUUUCUUCCCCAGCGCAAUCCUCAUCCAUUCCCCCUCAUCUCUCUGGUAAACAAGCCCACAUCCUUCAUUUUUUCCAAUUACAACGAUCUGCUGCUCCGGCGAGCGGUGCCCAGAGUUUCUGUUGGGAUGGGGAGUGGCCGUUGCGUGCUAGGAACAGAGCCACUCGCUGUUGCGAGCGGUGCCGGAGCUGAGCAGGCUGCAGCCAGCGCUCGUCGCCAAGGGCGCCCGCUACUGCAACCAGCGCUCGUCCCCAUGGCCGCCCGAAGCUGGGCUCGCUGCUCUCCAUGGCCGCCGCAACUCUGCAGAAUCAGAGAAGUUGCAACCACCGGGGCGCUGUGUCCGGCGAACCGUGGCCACCGGAGCAUGCACUGGAAUUGCGAGCGGUGGCACGGGAGCUACAAGGCUGUAACCAUGGGCGCACGUUGCUGCAUCCACGGAGGUGAGAAAUGCAUGAAGGCGACAUAGGUGAGGGCGGUGACCAAUGCCGAGGGCGGCGACCGGCGGUAAGGGUGACCGGCGGUGAGGAGUCGAGGCGGUCGGCGCAUGCGGGGGCGUCAGCGCGUGCGAGGCAGGCCUCUCCCUUUCCCGUGCCAGAGGUUAAAGAUGGGAGGUUGGGGACGAAGGGAUCUGACGCCUCGGGGGGCCAGAUCUGACGGCUGGGGUUGGACCGGCCCAACAGUUGGGCCGGCGCACCGGCGCAGAUCGUUGCCCUACUAUUAUUACUAGCUACACCUUUCGUUGGGGUGUUAUUAGUACCCAUCGUAUUUCGGGUAAAAUUUAAACCAUACAUGUGGCUCGCAAAUAUAAAUAAUAUGUCAUAAAAAUUAUAUUAUUGGAUUUGUAUUCAAAAGUAGUUACCAA